UCUAUAUGAAAGAGUCCAUACCUAUAACUAAAUGUAUUUUUGUUUGUUUUGUAUUCUUGAAAAUUGAUGGUUUUAGCAAUCCCCUCCUGAAAUGAAGAGUUACAUACUGGGGUCUCUGGAAAACUAAACCAUGGAAAUUAAACUAGGAGACAGCCAGGAUCAUUUUUAGUAAAACAGUGUUCACAUCCCAAACCCCAGACUUUGAUUAGGUAUUAUGAAAGAAGCAAAUUAAGGUGAAGAUGGAACCAAAGUUAAUAGUCAGCUGAUGUUAUAAGGAGAUUAUCCUGUAUUAUCAGGACGGGCCCCAAGUAAUCACGAGAGUACUUAAAUGUGGAGGAUUGAUAAAAAAGAGUCAAAGAGAUGUGGUGUGGGAUAGAUACAACAGAACAUUAACUUUUCUCAAAAUCUCUGUGUUGAUUCUUUUUCCAUUAGCAUAAAAUGUACUUAAUGUAGGAAUACCCAUCGUUUAUUUUUAUAUGCACAACACCAUAUUGGUUUGUGAAUAUGAAAUGAAAGAAUACCGAAAGUAAAGAAAUGCUUCCUAAAGGAUGAGACCCAGGUACUACAGGAGUAUAGAUAAUGUGCUCCCUGUAUGGGUAGGAUUGUGGAUUCUUGGUGUUCAAUAAGUAUGGAUAAUUUGGUGUCUAAACUUGUGCCAAGUCUAUAUUAUUUUAAAUUGAUAUGAGAUAGUCAAGCCACAGAACUGACCGCCUGUUAUUUGGCCCUUGUCCACAGAGUGAUGCUCCUCACUGUACUGUUCUUGUUGUUUCCAGAACUCUUUGGGUUCCUGAAUUCUCAGAAUGACUUCAAAGGUAAGGUGUCCUUUUACAUGAGCAAGGUGAUAAGGGGCCUCUCUGCACACCUGCCUUCCGAUCAUACUCCAGGCCAGGAGCAUCCCCAGAACUUCUUGGUGGGCCAGCUUUGAACGGAAAUCCACCAGUUACGUCUUCCAUCCCCUCUUCUUCUUACAGUUCUGUUUUCUCAGUACUAAUCUCCUCUUCUAUGCUGUGGCUUCUAAUGUGACCAAGACCAAUCUACUAAGCAGCACUAACUACUUCUCAUGUUCCUCCAUAAACUGCAAUGUCUGGAGCCUGUUUUUCAUACUGUCACUAUUUAGAGAUGCUUCAUUUGUAGAAAUCAUGCUGCUCUCAAGUGCAUACAUGGUGAUCCUCUGGUCCAGGCAUCAGGGUCAGUCCCAUCAGCCUCUCCCCCAAAAACUUCCCCACAGAAGAGGGUCGCACAGACCAUCCUGCUGCAGGCUUGCUAUUACAAUGAAGAAGAGGCUGGAGUACCUCAUUUUGCUGCAUUCUUUGAAGACCAAGCUGAGGUGAAGAGGGAAUAUGCAAAGCAGUUCCUAAGAUAUCUAAGAAGACAUCAGGGUAAAAUCUGCCUUCCAGUGAUUAAGAGGCCUGACAUAGAUAACUGGGGAACAGGUAUACAAGCUAUAGAGUCUGCUCUGCAGUUGGAAAACACAUUAAACAAGCUCUUGCAAGACCUGAAGGCCUUGGCUUCUGAGAAGAGUGAAACUGAUCUUAUUCACUUCAUAGGAAAGUUUCUGGAUAAACAGAAGAGGAACAUAGGCUAUCUGGAAUACCAGCUUAAUUAUCAGAAGGAAUUGGAAAAGCAGGACCAGCAGGAAGGCCAGUUGCAAGAGCCUGCUGAAGCUUCAGGUAAAGAGGCCUAACAUCCAUCGGAGAGUAACACAGCAAAUCUUCCUAUUGUAGCAGGUCCCAACUCAGCUACUUCACAAUUUUGGUCUCGGUUUGACGGAAGACUGCUUUCCUUUUUAUCUAGUAUCCUAAUCUUCAUUGUUGUGCAUAUAAAUAAAUCUGCAUGGCAUUAUGGUUAUGUGUAAAGAGACUGCUAUUGGAGCACAAGAAGGGUUAGUUCCAUCAAUAUGAGUUUGCUAAAAGCUCCAGAGGAACAGUGGGUGCAUUAGACUAAAAAAAAAAAAAAAAAAAAAGCCUUCCUCCAUGGUCCCAGCAACACCCAGAUACAGAGUCAGGAUUUGGUAAAUUCAGUAGUCCAAGUGGAUAUAGUGGAAAUGAAGUAGUAAAACCUUAGGUCUAUCUAGUGUUCCCCCACCCAAAGUUGUAUACAUAAUUUAAGUUUACAAAAUAGUAAACUUCUAAUUAAAUGCAAAGCUAAACUUGAAGAUGAGCUCUUGGUCUAUAAAGGCCAAUUCCCAUCUGAAAGAUGUACAGUGGACAGGCAGCUCCACCCCAGCUAUCCUUUCAUAGCUGGAGGUAGGCAUAGGGAG
Molecule: RNA transcript, 2260 nt
Organism: Manis pentadactyla (Chinese pangolin)
Lineage: Eukaryota; Metazoa; Chordata; Mammalia; Pholidota; Manidae
Gene name: ferritin heavy chain B-like
Exons: 4
Source: RefSeq, a predicted model, not a curated record